CGUGCGGUUCUAUUUUGUUGGUUUCUAGGACCGCCGUAAUGAUUAAUAGGGAUAGUCGGGGGCGUCAGUAUUCAGCUGUCAGAGGUGAAAUUCUUGGAUUUGCUGAAGACUAACUACUGCGAAAGCAUUCGCCAAGGAUGUUUUCAUUAAUCAGGGAACGAAAGUUAGGGGAUCGAAGACGAUCAGAUACCGUCGUAGUCUUAACCAUAAACUAUGCCGACUAGGGAUCGGGCGGCGUUUCUAUGAUGACCCGCUCGGCACCUUACGAGAAAUCAAAGUUUUUGGGUUCUGGGGGGAGUAUGGUCGCAAGGCUGAAACUUAGAGAAAUUGACGGAAGGGCACCACAAGGCGUGGAGCCUGCGGCUUAAUUUGACUCAACACGGGGAAACUCACCAGGUCCAGACAAAAUAAGGAUUGACAGAUUGAG
RNAcentral lists this ribosomal RNA (427 nucleotides) under uncultured ascomycota sp. JK2-9. Its description in RNAcentral is "SSU rRNA". It matches the Rfam family "Eukaryotic small subunit ribosomal RNA", at positions 827 to 1252 of the family's 1831-position model. The record is from RNAcentral. Lineage: Eukaryota; Fungi; Ascomycota.